Ctenocephalides felis (cat flea) is the source of this 274-nucleotide long non-coding RNA. RefSeq lists it as uncharacterized. Lineage: Eukaryota; Metazoa; Arthropoda; Insecta; Siphonaptera; Pulicidae. The transcript has 3 exons. The record is from RefSeq and is a predicted model, not a curated record.
GCUUAAAUAAAAAUCUACGUUUUGCAUUUUAGGUUAAGCCGGGAUUGACAGUAUUUUGCAUAGCAAAUAUUUUAUUAAUUAUAUCGAUUAAUUGAUUUUUUACGUCAGCAGAAAAAAAUGGUCGUUUAUUUCUCUGACAGCCCCCCUACGAGCGGAAUUAUGUACAAUGAAGAGAACACGACGUUAAGGGUGAACCAUGCCCCUGUUGGAUGUGGGACUGUCUAUCUAACAGAAACAACAUUAUGCUGGUUCAAUACAACUCAGAAUCGAGGUU